RNAcentral lists this ribosomal RNA (253 nucleotides) under uncultured bacterium. Its description in RNAcentral is "partial 16S ribosomal RNA". It matches the Rfam family "Bacterial small subunit ribosomal RNA", at positions 524 to 776 of the family's 1533-position model. The record is from RNAcentral.
UACAGAGGUCUCAAGCGUUGUUCGGAUUCAUUGGGCGUAAAGGGUGUGUAGGUGGCGCGCUAAGUCGGGUGUGAAAUUUCGGAGCUUAACUCCGAAACUGCAUUCGAUACUGGCGUGCUUGAGGACUGGAGAGGAGACUGGAAUUUACGGUGUAGCAGUGAAAUGCGUAGAUAUCGUAAGGAAGACCAGUGGCGAAGGCGGGUCUCUGGACAGUUCCUGACACUGAGACACGAAGGUCAGGGGAGCAAACGGG